Molecule: long non-coding RNA, 449 nt
Filed under: Ananas comosus (pineapple)
Lineage: Eukaryota; Viridiplantae; Streptophyta; Magnoliopsida; Poales; Bromeliaceae
Description: long non-coding RNA (ACOM_LNC016710)
Source: RNAcentral
ACAUCACUACAACAAAAUAUAUAUUUAGCAACAAUUUAAUAGCGGCAAUUAUUGAAUGACCAUUAUUAUUUAUUAUUUAAUUAUAUUUUAGCGGCAAUUAUUUUAAGCUAUAUUUUUUUAUUGACUAAUAAUUUUAUAGAUAUCUAUUUUGAGCCGGAUACAAUCCUAACCCUAACCCUAACCCUAACCCGAAUCCGAACCUAACACCAAAUCCCUAAUUCCCCUUCAUAUUCCCCUCAAUCGAUCUCAUCCCUAAUUCCCACCAAUGCGCCAUUCCAGUUCCUUCCUCUUAGUCCUCCUCCCCCUCGUCGUCGUCGUCUCCUCCCAUGGCGUCCUCUCCCAUUCCCUCCGCCUCGAGCUCCUCCACCGCCCCUCGGCGACGCCGAUCGUCGCCGCGUCACGGAUCGACCACCUUUAUGUAAUCACACGGAGCGACGAACUCCCGCAAA